AAUAGAUACCCCAGGUAGUCCAUGCCGUAAACGUUGGGCACUAGGUGUGGGGGCCAUUCCACGGUUUCCGCGCCGCAGCUAACGCAUUAAGUGCCCCGCCUGGGGAGUACGGCCGCAAGGCUAAAACUCAAAGGAAUUGACGGGGGCCCGCACAAGCGGCGGAGCAUGCGGAUUAAUUCGAUGCAACGCGAAGAACCUUACCAAGGCUUGACAUGUGCCGGACCGUCCCAGAGAUGGGGCUUCCCUUCGGGGCCGGUUCACAGGUGGUGCAUGGUUGUCGUCAGCUCGUGUCGUGAGAUGUUGGGUUAAGUCCCGCAACGAGCGCAACCCUCGUUCCAUGUUGCCAGCACUUCGGGUGGGGACUCAUGGGAGACUGCCGGGGUCAACUCGGAGGAAGGUGGGGACGACGUCAAAUCAUCAUGCCCCUUAUGUCUUGGGCUUCACGCAUGCUACAAUGGCCGGUACAAAGGGUUGCGAUACUGUGAGGUGGAGCCAAUCCCAGAAAGCCGGUCUCAGUUCGGAUUGGGGUCUGCAACUCGG
RNAcentral lists this ribosomal RNA (540 nucleotides) under uncultured bacterium. RNAcentral describes it as "bacterial SSU rRNA". It matches the Rfam family "Bacterial small subunit ribosomal RNA", at positions 777 to 1315 of the family's 1533-position model. The record is from RNAcentral.